GGGUCCUGGCUUCCAUGCUCCAGCGCUUUGGCGUAUCACUUCUGAGGACCUAGAGAAAGGAUUCAAGCAAGGUCCCAUUCUGCCUCUCCCCUGUGUCCGUGGCAUGCAGCUAGCGCAUGGUUUGGUCCAGUCACGCGUGUCUGCUCGAGGUGCUGUACAAACACAUGGAAAAUGACAACCCCUGUCCCGAAGACCUUACAGUCUGUGCAAAUAGGUAAAUUCUACGUGAUUCGAGUUACAUGACAGAGAAGCAGGACCGAAGUCCAGUUAUCCAAGCAAUCUCCAUCAGACCUUGACUGGUACCAAGGCAGUGAUCUACUGAUGGAUUAGCUGGAAAUCAGCACUUUGAGUUUCAUGCCCAGUCCCAUUGGAGUAACCCAGGAGUCUGGCAGUUUGUGUCAUCAACAGG
Molecule: long non-coding RNA, 409 nt
Organism: Chrysemys picta bellii (western painted turtle)
Lineage: Eukaryota; Metazoa; Chordata; Testudines; Emydidae
Source: RefSeq, a predicted model, not a curated record